GAGAAAAGUCCAACACUGUAGUUUAACUCUUAAAAAAGGCUUAAGAAAUGGCUCUAACAGCAUCAUCUCAGUUCACUCUGGGGCAGAGGAUACCUGAAGAUCACUGGGAAAGUUACCUUUCACCUCACUGAGGAGUGCAGGUAGGGAGAAUAUAUAAGUGGAGAUUUCUGCUGGUUACCCAGUUAGGCUAUAGGACCUGCCUUUCACUGAGGAACCUUUGGGUAUCCACUAGAGAGUUGCCCUGGCCAUGACCUCUCCAUUGCCCUCUCUGUUUCCUCUGAUCCAUGCAGCCAGAAGUCUGUCUCCAGAAAGGAAUCCAGCUGACUGGUGAACAUGCUGUUGGCCAUUUGUUUCAGUGGGGAUUCACCAAAAGUAAAGUACAAAAUGACAAGAAAAGAUCAGAAAUGAGAUCAGAGAAAGGAAGCCUUAUCUUCUCAUGGCGAGUUAUGGAGACAACUUACCCGUAAAUCAUCACUCUCAGCCUGGAAAGGCAAGAAUGGGGAACCUCAAGAGCUC
This 516-nucleotide long non-coding RNA is filed under the name Fukomys damarensis (Damara mole-rat). RNAcentral describes it as "lncRNA (ENSFDAG00000026838.1)". The record is from RNAcentral. Lineage: Eukaryota; Metazoa; Chordata; Mammalia; Rodentia; Bathyergidae.